UGCAGCUGGAUCAUCGU
Molecule: ribosomal RNA, 17 nt
Filed under: Heterorhabditis indica
Lineage: Eukaryota; Metazoa; Nematoda; Chromadorea; Rhabditida; Heterorhabditidae
Description: partial 18S ribosomal RNA
Source: RNAcentral